GACGAACGCUGGCGGCGUGCUUAACACAUGCAAGUCGAGCGGAAAGGCCCUGCUUUUGUGGGGUGCUCGAGUGGCGAACGGGUGAGUAACACGUGAGUAACCUGCCCUUGACUUUGGGAUAACUUCAGGAAACUGGGGCUAAUACCGGAUAGGAGCUCCUGCUGCAUGGCGGGGGUUGGAAAGUUUCGGCGGUUGGGGAUGGACUCGCGGCUUAUCAGCUUGUUGGUGGGGUAGUGGCUUACCAAGGCUUUGACGGGUAGCCGGCCUGAGAGGGUGACCGGCCACAUUGGGACUGAGAUACGGCCCAGACUCCUACGGGAGGCAGCAGUGGGGAAUAUUGCACAAUGGGCGGAAGCCUGAUGCAGCAACGCCGCGUGCGGGAUGACGGCCUUCGGGUUGUAAACCGCUUUCGCCUGUGACGAAGCGUGAGUGACGGUAAUGGGUAAAGAAGCACCGGCUAACUACGUG
RNAcentral lists this ribosomal RNA (468 nucleotides) under uncultured bacterium. RNAcentral describes it as "partial 16S ribosomal RNA". It matches the Rfam family "Bacterial small subunit ribosomal RNA", at positions 28 to 507 of the family's 1533-position model. The record is from RNAcentral.